GCCGACCCCAGGUCAGGCGGGAUUC
Molecule: ribosomal RNA, 25 nt
Filed under: Nymphoides aquatica
Lineage: Eukaryota; Viridiplantae; Streptophyta; Magnoliopsida; Asterales; Menyanthaceae
Description: partial 26S ribosomal RNA
Source: RNAcentral